Long non-coding RNA from Panthera uncia (snow leopard), 550 nucleotides. RefSeq lists it as uncharacterized. Lineage: Eukaryota; Metazoa; Chordata; Mammalia; Carnivora; Felidae. The record is from RefSeq and is a predicted model, not a curated record. The transcript is spliced from 4 exons.
GAAGCAGCGAACCAAUGUGUUUUCUACAAGGCACAAAUCCAAUUUUUUCUUGAAAACAUUAAAGCACAUUGGAAAACCAUUCCCCUUAUUUCUUUAACUGGAAAAAGCUGCAUUUGAGAAACUCACUUUACUCAGACAGAAGUAAUGUGACAUAAAGAUCUGAUCUGGGGAGGACAGAAGAACUCAUAUCGUGAGGUGGACUCCACAUUGCCAUUGGCGUUCCCAAGUCCAUUACAUCUGGUUUCUUGUAAUGAAAAAGGCGAACUCUCGGCACCAUGAUUGAUUUGUCUGCCAUUCUAACCUCACAGACUCUGGCGCAUAAUAAAGAGAUUGAGAAUUGGACAAGCCCGGCUUCUGUGCUAUCAAAUCUACAAUGGGAUGCCUGGAAAAAUUGAGCUGUAUCUAUAGAAGGGAAAAUGAACAGGCCACAGCACAACUAAUCUGCUCAAUUCUACUGUUGCAAAGAUUGAUGGAGACCAUUGUGUGAUCAAUUUGGUCAUGACACUGGGUAUCAGUCAUGAGCAUGACUGAAAUGAAUGGAAUCACUUUA